UGAAUAGAGAACUGAUAAUUGCAUAUAACAUAUGUCAGAUUUCGGAAUCCAUUACAUAUAUAUAUUUAUUGUUUUGUAGAGUAAUUAGUUUUAUGCAGCUAAGAGUGGAGGUAGAAUAGCAAGAACAAGGAGUGGCUCACCGAAAACUACGACGUUUAUAUACACUCCGACGACUACACACCAUAACGGCCAAGUCGAGCCGGGAAGACGAUACAGAGGAGUGAGACGGCGGCCAUGGGGGAGAUGGGCGGCCGAAAUUCGAGAUCCCAACAAAUCCGCCAGAGUGUGGCUCGACACUUUCGACACUGUCGAAGUGGCCGCCGAAGCCUACGACCAAGCCGCCCCCAGGUUCAGAGGCAGCAAGGCUAAGCUCAAUUUCCCGGAAAAUGUAAGCUUGUUGCCUCCUCCUUCUUCGGCUAGGGUUUCAUCUCCCGCCGCUCGCUUUCCGACUAGUCUUUAUUCUAAUUUCGGUUCGCUGGCGGUCGUCAACCGCCCCGGGGAGUUUGUGGUUCAGCAUCCCCCCGUGAGUUUGUUAGAACAACGGAUAUGUUCGCCGGAAUCUUUGUCCUCAAUGUUCCCUUCUGCUCAGCCACCGGUUCGUUUCAGCCAUGCUGGCGGCCAGAGUAGCAGAACGGAACAUCCCGCUGCUUCUUGGUCGGAUUAGACUCACCACCUGCUUCGAGGGACCAUUUUAGGUGUAUGUUGCAAAUUAUGUGAAGAAGCUGCACUUGCUUGGGAAAACCAUUCUUGAGGUGAUUGAAUUGGCUGACAACAUGCGCAUCUCAUCGAAAGAAUCGGUGACCAUAAUACUAAGAAAGUCUCUAGCUGUUACAACAUUAUAGCAACAUACAAAGUUAUUUUCCUUUCUUUUUGCUAUAACAACAGACAAAGUUAUAAUCUGCAACCCUUUGUUCUCGCCUCCGAUCUGAGAAAGCAAGGCCUCCAUCUUUCAGAUCUGAGAAACCCAGAAAAACUAAUCUGGGUUUUUGUUCUUCUGAGGUGAAGUGAAGAAGCUAAGGCCGUCGAAAAUGGUAAGAGUGAAGACAGAAAGUGUGUUUCCUAGUCCGCCGGAAAUGGUAGGAGAGAAGUCAUUUUGGUUUGCCGGAAAUGGUAGCUUGCCGGAGAAUAACAAAGAGGUGUGAAAUGACUAAAAUGCCCUCAUUAUUUUAGGGUUUAAGAUUUUUCGGUGAGAUUUGGUCGGCAAUUUCGCCGGAGUGACCAAAA
Molecule: long non-coding RNA, 1224 nt
Organism: Ipomoea triloba (trilobed morning glory)
Lineage: Eukaryota; Viridiplantae; Streptophyta; Magnoliopsida; Solanales; Convolvulaceae
Exons: 2
Source: RefSeq, a predicted model, not a curated record